UGGGGAAUAUUGGACAAUGGACCAAGAGUCUGAUCCAGCAAUUCUGUGUGCACGAUGAAGUUUUUCGGAAUGUAAAGUGCUUUCAGUUGGGAAGAAAAAAAUGACGGUACCAACAGAAGAAGUGACGGCUAAAUACGUGCCAGCAGCCGCGGUAAUACGUAUGUCACGAGCGUUAUCCGGAUUUAUUGGGCAUAAAGCGCGUCUAGGUGGUUAUAUAAGUCUGAUGUGAAAAUGCAGGGCUCAACUCUGUAUUGCGUUGGAAACUGUAUAACUAGAGUACUGGAGAGGUAAGCGGAACUACAAGUGUAGAGGUGAAAUUCGUAGAUAUUUGUAGGAAUGCCGAUGGGGAAGCCAGCUUACUGGACAGAUACUGACGCUGAAGCGCGAAAGCGUGGGUAGCAAACAGGAUUAGAUACCCUGGUAGUCCACGCCGUAACGAUGAUUACUAGGUGUUGGGGGUCAAACCUCAGCGCCCAAGCAAAUGCGAUAAGUAAUCCGCCUGGGGAGUACGUACGCAAGUAUG
RNAcentral lists this ribosomal RNA (523 nucleotides) under uncultured bacterium. RNAcentral's name for it is "bacterial SSU rRNA". It matches the Rfam family "Bacterial small subunit ribosomal RNA", at positions 355 to 896 of the family's 1533-position model. The record is from RNAcentral.